This 950-nucleotide ribosomal RNA is filed under the name uncultured bacterium. RNAcentral's name for it is "bacterial SSU rRNA". It matches the Rfam family "Bacterial small subunit ribosomal RNA", at positions 28 to 978 of the family's 1533-position model. The record is from RNAcentral.
GAUGAACGCUAGCGGCAGGCUUAACACAUGCAAGUCGAGGGGCAGCACGGGUAGCAAUACCUGGUGGCGACCGGCGGAAGGGUGCGUAACGCGUGAGCAACAUGCCCUAUACAGGGGAAUAAACCAGGGAAACUUGGUCUAAUGCCCCAUAGCAAUAAGAUAAGGCAUCUUAUUUUAUUUAAAGCUUCGGUGGUAUAGGAUUGGCUCGCGUGACAUUAGCUGGAUGGUGGGGUAACGGCCCACCAUGGCGAUGAUGUCUAGGGGUUCUGAGAGGAAGACCCCCCACACUGGGACUGAGACACGGCCCAGACUCCUACGGGAGGCAGCAGUGAGGAAUAUUGGACAAUGGAUGGAAAUCUGAUCCAGCCAUGCCGCGUGCAGGAAGACGGCCCUAUGGGUUGUAAACUGCUUUUCUACGGGAGCAAUAAGGUCUACGCGUAGACUGAUGAGAGUACCGUAGGAAUAAGCAUCGGCUAACUCCGUGCCAGCAGCCGCGGUAAUACGGAGGAUGCGAGCGUUAUCCGGAUUUAUUGGGUUUAAAGGGUGCGUAGGCGGCUUUUUAAGUCGGCGGUGAAAUUUUGCAGCUUAACUGUAACAGUGCCGUUGAUACUGGGGAGCUAGGAUUUGGUUGCUGUGGGUGGAAUGUGUGGUGUAGCGGUGAAAUGCUUAGAGAUCACACAGAAUAUCGAUUGCGAAGGCAGCUCACAAAGCCAAGAUUGACGCUGAGGCACGAAAGUGUGGGGAUCAAACAGGAUUAGAUACCCUGGUAGUCCACACUGUAAACGAUGAUAACUCGCUGUCGGCGAUACACAGUCGGUGGCCAAGCGAAAGCGAUAAGUUAUCCACCUGGGGAGUACGACCGCAAGGUUGAAACUCAAAGGAAUUGACGGGGGCCCGCACAAGCGGAGGACAUGUGGUUUAUUCGAUGAUACGCGAGGAACCUUACCCGG